Tripterygium wilfordii is the source of this 87-nucleotide small nucleolar RNA. RefSeq annotates it as small nucleolar RNA Z102/R77. The record is from RefSeq and is a predicted model, not a curated record. Lineage: Eukaryota; Viridiplantae; Streptophyta; Magnoliopsida; Celastrales; Celastraceae. The transcript has a single exon.
GGAUGAUAUGAUGAGGAAAUGUUUCCCUAUUGGUUUGAUUGCCGAGAUGAUGGCGUCGACCUUGUUAUUAGCUCUAUCUGAUCUUCC